This 743-nucleotide long non-coding RNA is filed under the name Capsicum annuum. RNAcentral describes it as "long non-coding RNA (CANN_LNC004885)". The record is from RNAcentral. Lineage: Eukaryota; Viridiplantae; Streptophyta; Magnoliopsida; Solanales; Solanaceae.
UCCGCUGCACAUCUGGUUGCUUCAGCUAAAAAAUGUUGUCUUUCAUUGUCUAGAAUUUUGAGUUCUUGAUGUUUCUUCUGUGGGUUAUCAACCAGGUGCCAUGCUCUACAGCUGCUUAUGUGAUUAUCAGCUCAAAAAAGUUUGUACUUCCUCCUUUUUUAUUUCCUCCUCUUACUCUUGUUCUCCAUUAAUGGUUGUUUGUGAUAUCUCCAGGUGCGUUCUUUGGUGGAUGGGAUAAAUCUCCUCAUUUUGUAUUGUAUUGAAGGAAUCAGGACCCUAGAUGCUAUCUGAGAUCUGUGUAAGUACAGUCUUUUCAACUUCCUCAAUCUUUUUAGCUUCUCUUCAUCCUUACUUUGCUUAUCAUGCUCUUCCUUAUAGCUAUUGAUGGGAUGGAGAUACUGGAAUGCUCUGACCCGCAUGCAAGUAUACUGAAUUAGUUUAUCCAGGUGUUUCAUAUGCCAACAUCUUCCCUGACCUUCCCUUUUUGCUGAGAGUCCAUUUUGAAGGAUGUGUUAGAAUAGGCUAGGAAACUAUUUGUGUAGUUUUCUCAUUGUAAUUAUUCUGUUGAGCAUUUGUGAACACUGUAGCCUACUCACCGAUUUACUCUCUUGUUGCUCUUAUCCUUAUGUAAGGAUAUUGUAAUUUGUCACUGUUCAGUAUCUUUCUACCUUGUGACUAUAAUUGAUAAAAGUUUAUGAUUGCAAAAUCUCUACUAUCAAUGGCUAGAUUAGUUAGAUAAUAUG